Bubalus bubalis (water buffalo) is the source of this 1732-nucleotide long non-coding RNA. RefSeq lists it as uncharacterized. The transcript has 2 exons. NCBI's taxonomy places the organism in Eukaryota, Metazoa, Chordata, Mammalia, Artiodactyla, Bovidae. The record is from RefSeq and is a predicted model, not a curated record.
CACCUGUCCGCUCCAGCAGGCACAGACAUCUAGACCAGCAGGUCUCACACCUGCUGCGCCCAAGAGCUUUUGAGAAACACCUGCCUGGAUCCCGUGCUCCAUGGGCUGGUCCCGUGCUACCUGGGCUGGAGGAGGGGUCCUGAGGGGCAGAUAUGUUUAUAAACUCCCUGGAUGGGAAUUCCCUGGCAGUCCAGUGGUUGGGCCCGGGGCUCAAUCCCCGGUUAGGGAACUAAGAUCUUACAAGAGGUGUGGCAUGGCCAUAAAUAAAUACAUAAAAACUCCCUGGGUUAGGCCCUGGCUAGGGCUUAGAAAUGCCCUUUUGAACACGUUAGUAAGUUAACUAAGUGGUGCCGGUAGGAAGUCAAGGGAGGGACUCACCGCCGCUGCUAGGAGGGUGCAGGGAGGAGACAGCCCAGUGGACUGCAAGGGUGAGUAGGGCUUGGUGGGACAGACAGUGGUGGGGUAGAAGAUUCCAGACAAAAGGACUGGGGAGGGGUGCGUGGGAGCCUGUGGGAGGUGUGAGAAAGGGUUUCUCCACCACAGAAUUCUAGGACGGAUCGGCGGGGGGGACAGGGACCCAGCGCCUGGUGGGCAAGGCUGCUCACCGGACUCCACGCCCCGCGUGCACGACUGCUCCUGCCCAGCCGGAGAACGCAACGUGGAGAGCUCACUGCUCUGUUCCGUGUUUGCCCGGAUCAGUGCUGGCGUCAGGUUUGUCGCCCGAGGCCCCGGUACCAUAACUGCUUUCAAACGUCCCUAUGGGGAGGCCCACUUUCUUGCCCCUCCUCCUGUCUCCCACGUCUUCUUCACGUGGGAGUCCGGGAUCCGAGCCCCGGCUUCCGCCGGCGCCAGGAAGGCUGGAGGGAGGCGUGGGGGACAGGUGGGCAGGGGCGCGGUCACUGCGGAUCCACCCUCCCCACCGUUCUGCCGCCUCCUCCGUCAUCACACCACCCGCCACCGCGAGGAAGCCACACCGCGCGUGGGUCAGGGCAAGGCCCUGCUGACCCCGAGCCGAGCCCGCUGGACACCGGUUAGCCAGCGGUCUGCGCUUAGCCCAGGCCCAGGCCAAUCAUCGGAGGGUACGUCAGCACCCUAGUGCCUGAUUGGCCAGGACUGGGCAGAGCCGGCCCAGUCAGAGUGGAGCUUCCCUUCCCCUUGGACGCGAAGGGAGAGCUGCGCAGGUCCUUGAGUUUCCAGCAGCCUUUUCGCUGCGACCUCCCACGUGGUACUGGCAACAAACUCCGUCAACGUUUGAUGUCUAAGAACAUGAAAUCCAUGUUAGCGCAGUGGCCCGUGGUGUCACCAAGGACCCGUGCUCCUCCCGUCUGUCCAUGCUGCCAUCCCCACUGUGACGACGUUCCUGUCACAUCACGGAUGUGGGAAGGCUGCAAGGCGCCAGACAUCACAUCCAGACCCACAGCUCCAGCAAGAAACGAGGAGCAUGUCCUCUUUAUGAGCCUCCUUUAUGUGAGGAGACUUCCCAACACUAGGAUCCAUUGGCUUAAACUCGUUUUAAACCAAUUGCAGGAAGAGGCAUGGAGUUACUGACAUUGGCUUACACAGAGCAACUUACCCCAGCCAUAUAGAGGGUGGUGGCUACCUGGACCAUGGUGGGUUUCUGCCAGUAAUGACAAAGAAGGCAAUCUUGCGGCUACCACAAUGUCUACUCCCAUAUGAAAUUAACACUGACCACUGAAUAAAACAGGCAUUCCUGCGAGACACCCAGCCUUUA